Molecule: ribosomal RNA, 253 nt
Filed under: uncultured bacterium
Lineage: Bacteria
Description: partial 16S ribosomal RNA
Rfam family: Bacterial small subunit ribosomal RNA
Source: RNAcentral
GACGAAGGAUGCAAGUGUUAUCCGGAAUCACUGGGCGUAAAGCGUCUGUAGGUGGUCAAAUAAGUCAACUGUUAAAUCUUGAGGCUCAACCUCAAAAUCGCAGUCGAAACUAUUCGACUAGAGUAUAGUAGGGGUAAAGGGAAUUUCCAGUGGAGCGGUGAAAUGCGUAGAGAUUGGAAAGAACACCGAUGGCGAAGGCACUUUACUGGGCUAUUACUAACACUGAGAGACGAAAGCUAGGGUAGCAAAUGGG